RNAcentral lists this ribosomal RNA (543 nucleotides) under uncultured bacterium. Its description in RNAcentral is "partial 16S ribosomal RNA". It matches the Rfam family "Bacterial small subunit ribosomal RNA", at positions 355 to 888 of the family's 1533-position model. The record is from RNAcentral.
UGGGGAAUAUUGCACAAUGGGCGCAAGCCUGAUGCAGCCAUGCCGCGUGUGUGAAGAAGGCCUUCGGGUUGUAAAGCACUUUCAGCGAGGAGGAAGGUGGUGAGCUUAAUACGCUCAUCAAUUGACGUUACUCGCAGAAGAAGCACCGGCUAACUCCGUGCCAGCAGCCGCGGUAAUACGGAGGGUGCAAGCGUUAAUCGGAAUUACUGGGCGUAAAGCGCACGCAGGCGGUUUGUUAAGUCAGAUGUGAAAUCCCCGGGCUCAACCUGGGAACUGCAUUUGAAACUGGCAAGCUAGAGUCUCGUAGAGGGGGGUAGAAUUCCAGGUGUAGCGGUGAAAUGCGUAGAGAUCUGGAGGAAUACCGGUGGCGAAGGCGGCCCCCUGGACGAAGACUGACGCUCAGGUGCGAAAGCGUGGGGCAGCAAACAGGAUUAGAUACCCUGGUAGUCCAGCGCUGUAAACGAUGUCGAUUUUGGAGGUUGUGCCCUUGAGGCGUGGCUUCCGGAGCUAACGCGUUAAUCGACCGCCUGGGGAGUACGGCCG